RNAcentral lists this ribosomal RNA (254 nucleotides) under uncultured bacterium. Its description in RNAcentral is "partial 16S ribosomal RNA". It matches the Rfam family "Bacterial small subunit ribosomal RNA", at positions 524 to 776 of the family's 1533-position model. The record is from RNAcentral.
UACGAAGGGGGGCUAGCGUUGCUCGGAAUCACUGGGCGUAAAGCGCACGUAGGCGGCUUUUUAAGUCAGGGGUGAAAUCCUGGAGCUCAACUCCAGAACUGCCUUUGAUACUGAAGAUCUUGAGUUCGGGAGAGGUGAGUGGAACUGCGAGUGUAGAGGUGAAAUUCGUAGAUAUUCGCAAGAACACCAGUGGCGAAGGCGGCUCACUGGCCCGAUACUGACGCUGAGGCACGAAAGCGUGGGGAGCAAACAGG